Molecule: ribosomal RNA, 1516 nt
Filed under: Staphylococcus aureus
Lineage: Bacteria; Bacillati; Bacillota; Bacilli; Caryophanales; Staphylococcaceae
Description: partial 16S ribosomal RNA
Rfam family: Bacterial small subunit ribosomal RNA
Source: RNAcentral
UGAGUUUGAUCCUGGCUCAGGAUGAACGCUGGCGGCGUGCCUAAUACAUGCAAGUCGAGCGAACGGACGAGAAGCUUGCUUCUCUGAUGUUAGCGGCGGACGGGUGAGUAACACGUGGAUAACCUACCUAUAAGACUGGGAUAACUUCGGGAAACCGGAGCUAAUACCGGAUAAUAUUUUGAACCGCAUGGUUCAAAAGUGAAAGACGGUCUUGCUGUCACUUAUAGAUGGAUCCGCGCUGCAUUAGCUAGUUGGUAAGGUAACGGCUUACCAAGGCAACGAUGCAUAGCCGACCUGAGAGGGUGAUCGGCCACACUGGAACUGAGACACGGUCCAGACUCCUACGGGAGGCAGCAGUAGGGAAUCUUCCGCAAUGGGCGAAAGCCUGACGGAGCAACGCCGCGUGAGUGAUGAAGGUCUUCGGAUCGUAAAACUCUGUUAUUAGGGAAGAACAUAUGUGUAAGUAACUGUGCACAUCUUGACGGUACCUAAUCAGAAAGCCACGGCUAACUACGUGCCAGCAGCCGCGGUAAUACGUAGGUGGCAAGCGUUAUCCGGAAUUAUUGGGCGUAAAGCGCGCGUAGGCGGUUUUUUAAGUCUGAUGUGAAAGCCCACGGCUCAACCGUGGAGGGUCAUUGGAAACUGGAAAACUUGAGUGCAGAAGAGGAAAGUGGAAUUCCAUGUGUAGCGGUGAAAUGCGCAGAGAUAUGGAGGAACACCAGUGGCGAAGGCGACUUUCUGGUCUGUAACUGACGCUGAUGUGCGAAAGCGUGGGGAUCAAACAGGAUUAGAUACCCUGGUAGUCCACGCCGUAAACGAUGAGUGCUAAGUGUUAGGGGGUUUCCGCCCCUUAGUGCUGCAGCUAACGCAUUAAGCACUCCGCCUGGGGAGUACGACCGCAAGGUUGAAACUCAAAGGAAUUGACGGGGACCCGCACAAGCGGUGGAGCAUGUGGUUUAAUUCGAAGCAACGCGAAGAACCUUACCAAAUCUUGACAUCCUUUGACAACUCUAGAGAUAGAGCUUUCCCCUUCGGGGGACAAAGUGACAGGUGGUGCAUGGUUGUCGUCAGCUCGUGUCGUGAGAUGUUGGGUUAAGUCCCGCAACGAGCGCAACCCUUAAGCUUAGUUGCCAUCAUUAAGUUGGGCACUCUAAGUUGACUGCCGGUGACAAACCGGAGGAAGGUGGGGAUGACGUCAAAUCAUCAUGCCCCUUAUGAUUUGGGCUACACACGUGCUACAAUGGACAAUACAAAGGGCAGCGAAACCGCGAGGUCAAGCAAAUCCCAUAAAGUUGUUCUCAGUUCGGAUUGUAGUCUGCAACUCGACUACAUGAAGCUGGAAUCGCUAGUAAUCGUAGAUCAGCAUGCUACGGUGAAUACGUUCCCGGGUCUUGUACACACCGCCCGUCACACCACGAGAGUUUGUAACACCCGAAGCCGGUGGAGUAACCUUUUAGGAGCUAGCCGUCGAAGGUGGGACAAAUGAUUGGGGUGAAGUCGUAACAAGGUAGCCGUA